UCCAGGCUGGAUGUCCAGGGAGCCGGUACAGUGGCGCGCCUCUUGGCGUCUCCAACAGAACGGGAACCAGUACUGUUGUCUUCCCUCACUGUGGACUGGUUUUAUAGCCCCAGGAUCAAGCCGCUGUUGCUGAGCAGCCAGCGUCAGUCCCCACGUGGGUACCCGACCCUCCUCCGCCCCCUCCCCGCCCCACUCCCUCCCCUCUCCAAGUCUCUUCUCUCUCUUCUUUCUCCAUCUCUGCUCUCUCCGCUCCCUCUCUCCCUUCCCCCUUCCCCUUCUCUCUCUCUCUCUCUCUCUCUCUCUCUCUCUCUCUCUCUCUCUCUCUCUCUCUCUCUCUCUCUCUCUCUCUCUCUCUCUCUCUCUCUCUCUCUCUCUCUCUCUCUCUCUCUCUCUCUCUCUCUCUCUCUCUCUCUCUCUCUCUCUCCCUCUCCCCCCCAGCACCUUUUCUACACCAGCUUCCUAGCUGCACAGAGUUACCAACACCCUUGGGAUCACCCCACCCCCUGCACCCCCGCUGGGGACCGGACCUUCGGAGAGUUGUUUGGGCACUGGGCAAAACCAGAAGUGUUCAGUUCGAUCCAGGGCGUCUCGGCUGUUCACGCACCGAGGAUCCCCAGCGGUCAGAGAAGAGGGAAACGCCCCUCCAACUUGUGGCUGGAACAGGCACCUUCUGGACAUCUCCACCUAAGCUGGACCAGGCAACUGGGUGUUGGAUGCUGGGCGAGGUCUGGAGGUCCGAGACCACUGCCUCUGCUCUGCUUUCCCUGCCUGGGGAAGGGACCGAGGGAAGAGAGAGUCGCGGAGAAAGUGCUGAUUAGAAGCUGCGAAAACUGGCAGGAACAACCCACCCCGCAGGGCUGGGGGGAUUGA
This 870-nucleotide long non-coding RNA is filed under the name Phascolarctos cinereus (koala). RNAcentral's name for it is "lncRNA (ENSPCIG00000034229.1)". Lineage: Eukaryota; Metazoa; Chordata; Mammalia; Diprotodontia; Phascolarctidae. The record is from RNAcentral.